AUGUUGCGGACCUUUUCUGAUUGCAUGGCACAGAAGCAUCCGAUAUCUGUGAUCACAGAUGGGGACCUUGCAAUGCAGAGAGCAAUAAGGGUGGUCUGGCCAGACUCAAACCAUAGACUAUGUAUAUGGCACAUUCAGCAGAACAUUGUAUGCCAUCUGCAUGAUGACGAUGUAAAGGAGGAAUUCAGAUCUUUCAUUUAUGAUACUUCUUCCAUUGAAGAGCAUGAGAUAAAAUGGAUGCAAUUCUUACAACGGAAUAAAGUAACCAGUGAGGAGUCUUGGCUGCAUCAGAUGUAUCAGAUGAGAAAGUUGUGGUGUGCUCCAUAUCUUGAGAGGCGUUGUUUCCUAGGAUUGAGCAGCAAUCAAAGGAGUGAGAGCUUGAACUCUGUGCUACAUACGCAUCUUGAGGGUAAGAUGUCGUUGUUUGAAAUGCUAGAGCACUAUGAGCGUUGCCUUGCAUCGCGACGGAUUAACGAAGCUCUCCAUGAUGUCGAAGCCUUGCAGUCUGUUCCAUUUAUAGAGGAAAAUGCUUCGCCGCUUGAGAAACACGCCGCAACAGUUUUCACACCUAGGGUCUUUAAGAUGGUCUUAUGGAGCGUAGAUGCUGUCAGCAAAUGUCAGAUUAGAGAGAUACUAGAUGGAUCAUAA
RNAcentral lists this ribosomal RNA (648 nucleotides) under Triticum aestivum (bread wheat). RNAcentral describes it as "partial small subunit ribosomal RNA". The record is from RNAcentral. Lineage: Eukaryota; Viridiplantae; Streptophyta; Magnoliopsida; Poales; Poaceae.